CCCUUAGAUGUUCUGGGCAGCACGCGCGCUACAAUGGUCUUCGCAAACAGAUGCAUUCUCGAAGGAGAAUGCCAAUCUUGGAAUCUAUGCCUUGGUCGGGACAGUUGCUUGCAAUUUUUCGACUCGAACCAGGAAUUCCUUGUAAUCGUGAUUCAUCACAUCACGAUGAAUACGUCCCUGCCCUUUGUACACACCGCCCGUCGCUCCUACCGAUCGAAGAGUUAGGUGAAUUGUUUUGAUCGAUAAGAUUUGACUAUGGUCAACUCUCGUUGGGAAAUUCUGUGAAUCUGACUGUUUAGAGGAAGGAAAAGUCGUAACA
RNAcentral lists this ribosomal RNA (319 nucleotides) under uncultured eukaryote. RNAcentral's name for it is "partial 18S ribosomal RNA". It matches the Rfam family "Eukaryotic small subunit ribosomal RNA", at positions 1470 to 1796 of the family's 1831-position model. The record is from RNAcentral.